RNAcentral lists this ribosomal RNA (253 nucleotides) under uncultured bacterium. RNAcentral's name for it is "partial 16S ribosomal RNA". It matches the Rfam family "Bacterial small subunit ribosomal RNA", at positions 524 to 776 of the family's 1533-position model. The record is from RNAcentral.
UACGGGGGGGGCAAGCGUUGUUCGGAAUUACUGGGCGUAAAGGGCUCGUAGGCGGCCAACUAAGUCAGACGUGAAAUCCCUCGGCUUAACCGGGGAACUGCAUCUGAUACUGGAUGGCUUGAGUUCGGGAGAGGGACGCGGAAUUCCAGGUGUAGCGGUGAAAUGCGUAGAUAUCUGGAGGAACACCGGUGGCGAAGGCGGCGUCCUGGACCAAUACUGACACUGAAACGCGAAAGCCAGGGGAGCAAACGGG